RNAcentral lists this small nucleolar RNA (59 nucleotides) under Microcebus murinus (gray mouse lemur). Its description in RNAcentral is "Small nucleolar RNA SNORD75 (ENSMICG00000021063.3)". It matches the Rfam family "Small nucleolar RNA SNORD75". Rfam says of the family: U75 (SNORD75) belongs to the C/D class of snoRNAs which contain the C (UGAUGA) and D (CUGA) box motifs. Most of the members of the box C/D family function in directing site-specific 2'-O-methylation of substrate RNAs. The record is from Rfam by way of RNAcentral. Lineage: Eukaryota; Metazoa; Chordata; Mammalia; Primates; Cheirogaleidae.
AGCCUGUUAUGGUUUAACAGUAGUGACAGAAGGAACUUCUGAAAUUCUAUUCUAAGGCU